Molecule: ribosomal RNA, 494 nt
Filed under: uncultured bacterium
Lineage: Bacteria
Description: partial 16S ribosomal RNA
Rfam family: Bacterial small subunit ribosomal RNA
Source: RNAcentral
AUUGAACGCUGGCGGCAUGCUUUACACAUGCAAGUCGAACGGCAGCGGGGGGGGGCUUGCUUCCCUGCCGGCGCGUGGCGCACGGGUGUGUAAUACAUCGGAACGUCCUGUGAAGAGGGGGUUAACCACCCGAACGGGUGCCUAAUACGGCAUAAAUUCUGAGGAAGAUAGCUGGGGACUGGGGGAUAGUCUUACCGCCUUUUGAGGAUGCGUUGUCGGAUUAGCUAGUUGGUGAGGUAACGGCUCACCAAGGCGAAGAUCUGUAGCGGGCCUGAGAGGAUGAUCCGCCACACUGGGACUGAGACACGGCCCAGACUCCUACGGGAGGCAGCAGUGGGGAAUUUUGGACAAUGGGGGCAACCCUGACCCAGCAAUGCCGCGUGUAUGAAGAAGGCCUUAGGGUUGUAAAGUACUUUUGUUAGGGAAGAAAAGUCAGCUGUGAAUAAUGGCUGAUACUGACGGUACCUAAACAAUAAGCACCGGCUAACUACGUG